This 301-nucleotide ribosomal RNA is filed under the name uncultured bacterium. RNAcentral describes it as "partial 16S ribosomal RNA". It matches the Rfam family "Bacterial small subunit ribosomal RNA", at positions 509 to 807 of the family's 1533-position model. The record is from RNAcentral.
CAGUAGCCACGGUAAUACGUAGGUGGCAAGCGUUGUCCGGAAUUAUUGGACGUAAAGGGCUCGCAGGCGGUUUCUUAAGUCUGAUGUGAAAGCCCCCGGCUCAACCGGGGAGGGUCAUUGGAAACUGGGAAACUUGAGUGCAGAAGAGGAGAGUGGAAUUCCACGUGUAGCGGUGAAAUGCGUAGAGAUGUGGAGGAACACCAGUGGCGAAGGCGACUCUCUGGUCUGUAACUGACGCUGAGGAGCGAAAGCGUGGGGAGCGAACAGGAUUAGAUACCCCAGUAGUCCCUGUCUCUUAUAC